GAAAAUUCUUAGAGAAAAAAAAAUAAUUACGUGAUAUUUGUUGUCGAUUUACAGGUUUGUAAUUACAUCUAUAUAAACACUCACUAAAAUUUCUACAAUAAUAUAUAGCAUGUGGUCCCGGGUUCCAGCCCCGACUCAUUGUCAGCAGUGAACAGUACUGUUAGCCCGGGUCUACAAUGAGAGUUUUAAGACUUAAAAUUUAAGAACUUGGCCAAUCAUAUUCGUUAUUCUUCUCUAAAUUCAAUUGUUGUUAGUUAAUUUCUUAAGUCUUAAAUCUUAAAACUGUUAUUGUAGACCCGGCCUUACGCAGUACGCACACAUCGCACACAAGCGAGUCUCGUACAUAUAAGGUGCGUUCCGUGUUACGCAUAUGUGCGCAUUUAUCUAUAGUACACGUCACGUUUACUACAGAAAAUGCGCUCAUAUACAUGAAACGGAAUGCGGCCAUAAUGCGCACAGUUCUGCGCAUUGAGUAUGGUCAGUGGUCCGCGUGUUUAUAUUACUGCACGUGGAGUACGUGUUAAAUAUCUAAAAAGUUAUUAACAGUGGUGAACGAUAAUCAUGGAUGGAAAUUAUUAGUCAUCCUAAAGUCUGUUGUUGUGUCCGUAAACAUGUUUAAACAGUUUGGACAUUAUUUUUGUGCUUUCACUGAUCAUUCGGAUAUUUCACUGACCGACCACGUGUACCGACUAGCGAAUAGUGUACGCAUAUCCUUUGUUCUUUAGUGGUUCCGGAUCCUUUCCUUUGCAAGCUUGCAUUUUUUUUGUCAAUAUUACCACAUUCGGGAUAAAAUUGCAAUUAUGUCUGACAGCGAUAAUGAUGAACAAAUAGUUCAUUGAUUCAAAAUUGUGAGGUUUAUUAAAUGCGCAGAAAAGGUUCCACAAAAGAGAUUGAUAUCGUUCCUUCAACUUGAAUUAAUUGGGAUAAAAACACUAAACGAUUGAAAGUUCCAUUUCUUCCACCUCCAUAUACAACAGAAGGGAUAAAUAAUCUCCAUGAUUUGGUUAAAAGCGAAGUGGAAGCACCAGAGUCAUGGCCACUGUUCAGUGUUGACAUUGUUGGUCAAGCAAAAACAUAUUCAGAUGCUGUUGAUCGCUUAAUGCUUCUUGAUCAAAAGGAGACUCCUUUUUCACAGGAUUCGGAAGAUAACGAACUAAAAAUUAAGAAAGCACAAGCAAUUUAUCAACAAAAGAUUUAAAAAAAGUGCGGAAGAAAUUAAAGAAAGUUUUAGUAGAACUCCUAUGUUUACAAAAAAAUCUUGUAGUCAGUCAGAUAUGAUUAUAUUUUAAAAUACCAACGUAAACCUGUCAAGUCAUCCAAGUCAUCAAUGAAUACCAAAGAUGAAGUACAAAUAUCUUCGUAGUAAUACUAUUGUAAGCGAGUUAAGUAAGGCCAUGUUUUUUAUUUCAUUGAUGGAUCAAGCGCAUGAUGCGCAAAUGCUACACGUGCAGAUUUGCGCAUAAUGCGCUUGAUCCAUCAAUGAAUUAAAAAACAUGGCCUAAAGCUCACGGGCUACAAGUCAUUUUACUGUACAAUUAUAGUUUAGUUAAAGUUCAACAUGUAAAAUUAAUAA
This is a non-coding RNA of Nylanderia fulva, 1573 nucleotides long. The record is from RefSeq and is a predicted model, not a curated record. Lineage: Eukaryota; Metazoa; Arthropoda; Insecta; Hymenoptera; Formicidae.